UAGAGUUUGAUCCCUGGCUCAGGAUGAACGCUAGCGGCAGGCUUAACACAUGCAAGUCGAGGGGCAGCGCGAUGUAGCAAUACAUUGGCGGCGACCGGCGCACGGGUGAGUAACACGUAUGGAACCUGCCCUUUACUGGGAGAUAACCCGGAGAAAUCCGGACUAAUAUCCCAUAACAAGCGGGGUGGCAUCACCUUGCUUUGAAAGCUCCGGCGGUAAAGGAUGGCCAUGCGCCCGAUUAGCUGGUUGGUGGGGUAACGGCCCACCAAGGCGACGAUCGGUAGGGGGCCUGAGAGGGUUAUCCCCCACACUGGUACUGAGACACGGACCAGACUCCUACGGGAGGCAGCAGUGAGGAAUAUUGCGCAAUGGAGGCAACUCUGACGCAGCCAUGCCGCGUGCAGGAAGAAGGCGCUACGCGUUGUAAACUGCUUUUAUCCGGGAAGAAACCCCUCCACGCGUGGAGGGUUGACGGGUACCGGAGGAAUAAGCACCGGCUAACUUCGUGCCAGCAGCCGGCGGUAAUUCA
RNAcentral lists this ribosomal RNA (529 nucleotides) under uncultured bacterium. RNAcentral's name for it is "bacterial SSU rRNA". It matches the Rfam family "Bacterial small subunit ribosomal RNA", at positions 1 to 527 of the family's 1533-position model. The record is from RNAcentral.